RNAcentral lists this unclassified non-coding RNA (332 nucleotides) under uncultured fungus. Its description in RNAcentral is "partial contains 5.8S ribosomal RNA and internal transcribed spacer 2". The stretch from base 1 to 133 matches the Rfam family "5.8S ribosomal RNA", at positions 22 to 154 of the family's 154-position model. Lineage: Eukaryota; Fungi. The record is from RNAcentral.
UGGUUCUGGCAUCGAUGAAGAACGCAGCGAAAUGCGAUAAGUAAUGUGAAUUGCAGAAUUCAGUGAAUCAUCGAAUCUUUGAACGCACAUUGCGCCCGCCAGUAUUCUGGCGGGCAUGCCUGUUCGAGCGUCAUUUCAACCCUCAAGCUCCGGCUUGGUGUUGGGGAUCGGCAGCCCGGCUUCGCGCCGACGCCGUCCCCCAAAUGCAGUGGCGGUCACGCUGUAGCUUCCUAUGCGUAGUAGCACACCUCGCACUGGAAAGCAGCGCGGCCACGCCGUAAAACCCCCAACUUUUUGUGGUUGACCUCGAAUCAGGUAGGACUACCCGCUGA